Molecule: ribosomal RNA, 345 nt
Filed under: uncultured bacterium
Lineage: Bacteria
Description: bacterial SSU rRNA
Rfam family: Bacterial small subunit ribosomal RNA
Source: RNAcentral
GAUGAACGCUGGCGGCGUGCCUAACACAUGCAAGUCGAACGGAGUUUACUGGAUGAAGCCUAGCGAUUCUAGUAAACUUAGUGGCGGACGGGUGAGUAACGCGUGGAUAACCUGCCUCACACAGUGGGAUAACAGUUAGAAAUGACUGCUAAUACCGCAUAAGCCCACAGCACCGCAUGGUGCAGGGGGAAAAGAUUUUANCGGUGUGAGAUGGAUCCGCGUCUGAUUAGCUAGUUGGCGGGGUAACGGCCCACCAAGGCGAUGAUCAGUAGCCGGCCUGAGAGGUGAACGGCACAUUGGGACUGAGACACGGGCCCAAACUCCUACGGGAGCAGCAGUGGGGAA